This 906-nucleotide long non-coding RNA is filed under the name Malus domestica (apple). RNAcentral's name for it is "long non-coding RNA (MDOM_LNC009141)". The record is from RNAcentral. Lineage: Eukaryota; Viridiplantae; Streptophyta; Magnoliopsida; Rosales; Rosaceae.
ACUAAUCAAAACACUCAACCUCACUCUCUCUUCUCCCUUUCCCCGAAGACUCUCUCUCUUACCCUCCCUCUGCAACUUUCUCAACCGACGUCCAAACCACCCAAACAUGACCUGUAAUCUCCAUCUUUGAACUCCCCUCAACCCCACGAACACAACCAUGUAACCAGAUCUCGAUUUGGUUGAGGUUUGACUCCCCAACUCGGAAGCUCCGACUCGGUGAGUUCUGGAUCAACGAUUUUCAGAUUGAGUCACGGCGUUUUAGGACUUAGGGAAGCUACUACUAAACUCCUUAAAGAUCCUAGAUUAGUUUUGGUGAAGAGUUGACAUAAAAAAACAUGAGGUUUCAAGAAGUUCCAGUUUGGCCGUACCUUUCGAGCCAUUUUUAGGCCACCUUCGUCUACUUUUUGGACCUUUGAAAGGUAUAACGUGAUUCUACUCUUCAUAAGCUACAUUUCUAUAUAAAUUUUGUGAAAAAUGGUUGAGAAAUAAAAAAGAUAUGAAGGUUUGAAAAAUUACCCAGUUUUCGAGGACAUUUUUCCAGAUUCCAGCGAACCAAACAUCGAUCGACUGCAACCGGCGAGGCUUGAUGGAGAAGAGGACGGAAUAUUUUGUCAAAGUUGAUGGAAUAUUCUAAUGGCGUCACCUGAAGCCGUUAACUUCUGUUACUUUUUAACGAAAUAUUCCUAACGGCCGUUAGGGUUAGCCUGCGCGUGGUGGUGCGUAUGGUCGUGCCCUAGGCGGCACGUCUGGCCUCCGAUUGACCGUCUGUCAAUUUGUGUAGCUCCGUGACGUCGAGUAGAUUGAUUUCAUAUAUUCAAACCCUAUGUUUAAGCAAUCUACAGAGGUUUUAUUUAAGUUUCCGUAUAUGUGUUAUUAAACUCAUUAAAUUAGUAAUUUUACAUAUAG